RNAcentral lists this ribosomal RNA (700 nucleotides) under Bacillus amyloliquefaciens. RNAcentral describes it as "bacterial SSU rRNA". It matches the Rfam family "Bacterial small subunit ribosomal RNA", at positions 33 to 717 of the family's 1533-position model. The record is from RNAcentral. Lineage: Bacteria; Bacillati; Bacillota; Bacilli; Caryophanales; Bacillaceae.
CCGGGGGGGGCGUGCUAAUACAUGCAGUCGAGCGGACAGAUGGGAGCUUGCUCCCUGAUGUUAGCGGCGGACGGGUGAGUAACACGUGGGUAACCUGCCUGUAAGACUGGGAUAACUCCGGGAAACCGGGGCUAAUACCGGAUGGUUGUCUGAACCGCAUGGUUCAGACAUAAAAGGUGGCUUCGGCUACCACUUACAGAUGGACCCGCGGCGCAUUAGCUAGUUGGUGAGGUAACGGCUCACCAAGGCGACGAUGCGUAGCCGACCUGAGAGGGUGAUCGGCCACACUGGGACUGAGACACGGCCCAGACUCCUACGGGAGGCAGCAGUAGGGAAUCUUCCGCAAUGGACGAAAGUCUGACGGAGCAACGCCGCGUGAGUGAUGAAGGUUUUCGGAUCGUAAAGCUCUGUUGUUAGGGAAGAACAAGUGCCGUUCAAAUAGGGCGGCACCUUGACGGUACCUAACCAGAAAGCCACGGCUAACUACGUGCCAGCAGCCGCGGUAAUACGUAGGUGGCAAGCGUUGUCCGGAAUUAUUGGGCGUAAAGGGCUCGCAGGCGGUUUCUUAAGUCUGAUGUGAAAGCCCCCGGCUCAACCGGGGAGGGUCAUUGGAAACUGGGGAACUUGAGUGCAGAAGAGGAGAGUGGAAUUCCACGUGUAGCGGUGAAAUGCGUAGAGAUGUGGAGGAACACCAGUGGCG